RNAcentral lists this ribosomal RNA (352 nucleotides) under uncultured bacterium. RNAcentral describes it as "bacterial SSU rRNA". It matches the Rfam family "Bacterial small subunit ribosomal RNA", at positions 527 to 878 of the family's 1533-position model. The record is from RNAcentral.
GAAGGGGGCUAGCGUUGCUCGGAAUCACUGGGCGUAAAGGGCGCGUAGGCGGCCGAUCAAGUCGGGGGUGAAAGCCUGUGGCUCAACCACAGAAUUGCCUUCGAUACUGUUUGGCUUGAGACCGGAAGAGGUGAGUGGAACUGCGAGUGUAGAGGUGAAAUUCGUAGAUAUUCGCAAGAACACCAGUGGCGAAGGCGGCUCACUGGUCCGGUUCUGACGCUGAGGCGCGAAAAGCGUGGGGAGCAAACAGGAUUAGAUACCCUGGUAGUCCACGCCGUAAACGAUGGAUGCUAGCCGUUGGCCAGCUUGCUGGUCAGUGGCGCAGUUAACGCUUUAAGCAUCCCGCCUGGGA